Molecule: transfer RNA, 64 nt
Filed under: Marinovum algicola
Lineage: Bacteria; Pseudomonadati; Pseudomonadota; Alphaproteobacteria; Rhodobacterales; Roseobacteraceae
Also listed under: 106 other names
Rfam family: tRNA
About the family: Transfer RNA (tRNA) molecules are approximately 80 nucleotides in length. Their secondary structure includes four short double-helical elements and three loops (D, anti-codon, and T loops).
Source: RNAcentral
CGUUAGCUCAGUUGGUAGAGCAACUGACUUUUAAUCAGUGGGUCGCAGGUUCGAAUCCUGCACG